AUUGAACGCUGGCGGCAGGCUUAACACAUGCAAGUCGAGCGGGGGAAGGUAGCUUGCUACCGGACCUAGCGGCGGACGGGUGAGUAGUGCUUAGGAAUCUGCCUAUUAGUGGGGGACAACAUCUCGAAAGGGAUGCUAACACCGCAUACGUCCUACGGGAGAAAGCAGGGGAUCUUCGGACCUUGCGCUAAUAGAUGAGCCGAAGUCGGAUUAGCUAGUUGGUGGGGUAAAGGCCUACCAAGGCGACGAUCUGUAGCGGGUCUGAGAGGAUGAUCCGCCACACUGGGACUGAGACACGGCCCAGACUCCUACGGGAGGCAGCAGUGGGGAAUAUUGGACAAUGGGGGGAACCCUGAUCCAGCCAUGCCGCGUGUGUGAAGAAGGCCUUAUGGUUGUAAAGCACUUUAAGCGAGGAGGAGGCUACUUUAGUUAAUACCUAGAGAUAGUGGACGUUACUCGCAGAAUAAGCACCGGCUAACUCUGUGCCAGCCGCCGCCGUAA
This 501-nucleotide ribosomal RNA is filed under the name uncultured bacterium. RNAcentral describes it as "partial 16S ribosomal RNA". It matches the Rfam family "Bacterial small subunit ribosomal RNA", at positions 30 to 523 of the family's 1533-position model. The record is from RNAcentral.